RNAcentral lists this ribosomal RNA (836 nucleotides) under uncultured bacterium. RNAcentral's name for it is "bacterial SSU rRNA". It matches the Rfam family "Bacterial small subunit ribosomal RNA", at positions 28 to 897 of the family's 1533-position model. The record is from RNAcentral.
AAUCAACGCUGGCGGCGCGCCUAACACAUGCAAGUCGAACGAGAAGGUGGGGCAACCCAUGAGUAAAGUGGCGUACGGGUGAGUAACACGUGGAUCAUCUACCUUCUGGUGAGGAAUAACCCUGGGAAACCGGGGCUAAUACCGCAUAAGCCCGAGAGGGGAAAGCAGCAAUGCGCCGGAAGAGGAGUCCGCGGCCGAUUAGCUAGUUGGCAGGGUAAAAGCCUACCAAGGCGACGAUCGGUAGCCGGCCUGAGAGGGCAUACGGCCACACUGGCACUGAAACACGGGCCAGACUCCUACGGGAGGCAGCAGUGGGGAAUCUUGCACAAUGGGGGAAACCCUGAUGCAGCGACGCCGCGUGAGCGAUGAAGCCCUUCGGGGUGUAAAGCUCUUUCGGCAGGGAAGAUGAUGACGGUACCUGCAGAAGCAGCUGCGGCUAACUACGUGCCAGCAGCCGCGGUAAUACGUAGGCAGCGAGCGUUGUUCGGAGUUACUGGGCGUAAAGGGUGUGUAGGCGGUUGCUUAAGUUUGGUGUGAAAUCUCCCGGCUCAACUGGGAGGGUGCGCCGAAUACUGAGUGACUCGAGUGCGGGAGAGGAGAGUGGAAUUCCUGGUGUAGCGGUGAAAUGCGUAGAUAUCAGGAGGAACACCGGUGGUGUAGACGGCUCUCUGGGCCGUGACUGACGCUGAGACACGAAAGCGUGGGUAGCAAACAGGAUUAGAUACCCUGGUAGUCCACGCCCUAAACGAUGCAUAUUUGGUGUGGGCAGUUCAGUCUGUCCGUGCCGGAGCUAACGCGUUAAAUAUGCCGCCUGGGGAGUACAGUCGCAAGGCUGA